RNAcentral lists this ribosomal RNA (234 nucleotides) under uncultured bacterium. RNAcentral's name for it is "partial 16S ribosomal RNA". It matches the Rfam family "Bacterial small subunit ribosomal RNA", at positions 15 to 240 of the family's 1533-position model. The record is from RNAcentral.
GAUUAUGGCUCAGGAUGAACGCUAGCUACAGGCUUAACACAUGCAAGUCGAGGGGCAGCGGGAAGUCAGCUUGCUGACUUUGCCGGCGACCGGCGCACGGGUGAGUAACACGUAUCCAACCUCCCGCAUACUCGGGAAUAGCCUUUCGAAAGAAAGAUUAAUGCCCGAUGGUUUCAAGGGAUUGCAUGGUAUCUUGAAUAAAGAUUCAUCGGUAUGCGAUGGGGAUGCGUUCCA